UACGGAAGGCAGCAGUGGGGAAUAUUGCACAAUGGGCGCAAGCCUGAUGCAGCCAUGCCGCGUGUAUGAAGAAGGCCUUCGGGUUGUAAAGUACUUUCAGUCGUGAGGAAGGUGUUAAGGUUAAUAACCUUAGCAAUUGACGUUAGCGACAGAAGAAGCACCGGCUAACUCCGUGCCAGCAGCCGCGGUAAUACGGAGGGUGCGAGCGUUAAUCGGAAUUACUGGGCGUAAAGGGCACGCAGGCGGUUAAUUAAGUUGGAUGUGAAAUCCCCGGGCUUAACCUGGGAAUGGCAUUCAAGACUGGUUAGCUAGAGUCUUGUAGAGGGGGUUAGAAUUCCAUGUGUAGCGGUGAAAUGCGUAGAGAUGUGGAGGAAUACCGGUGGCGAAGGCGGCCCCUGGACAAAGACUGACGCUCAUGUGCGAAAGCUGGGGAGCAAAC
Molecule: ribosomal RNA, 439 nt
Filed under: uncultured bacterium
Lineage: Bacteria
Description: bacterial SSU rRNA
Rfam family: Bacterial small subunit ribosomal RNA
Source: RNAcentral